GGGCGGACCUUUGCAGUGUGCGACCAAUACCCGCGCGCAACCACCAACAUUGGAAGAGCCGCAGAGCGGGCUGCGGAGCAGCCAAUCGGCAAUCGAAGGUACGCGUGCUCGCGGCGCACGGCCCAAUAGCUAUGCCACGUGGGCGGGACCAGGCGCCAAGGCCGGCGCUACGCUAACGUUUCUACCCCAAGAUACUUGUAGUAGCAGAGGAAGCAGUAGCUUUGCAGUAGAAGGAAGCCUGGAAGACAGCACCAUAAACAAGCAACCAAGGUCAUCAGCAUGUCCAAACUGAGCAAAUUGUACACUUCAAAUAUUUGUUACAGUGUAUAUUAAUUGUGCCUCAACAAAUGUGAAGGAAAAACACCCAUCCACAUACUAUGGGUUUCCUGAGGACAUGGACUCAUUUUUUGGUAUUUCUGCCUCAAAAGGCACAAAAUCUUAUAGUGCAUAAUCAGUAUCAUUCAAGUCAGACAGUGGACCCACCUUUGAGCAAAAGAAAACCACUUAGGUGGGGAGCACCAGGAGCAUGGAGGGAUGCCAGGAAUAGGGAACCCAGACUCUAAAUAAGAUCUUAGCUCAAGAAAGGAUAUUAGUGGGAGAAUUGGUAAACUUCAAAUAGAACCUCUUGACUCACUAAUAGUAUUCUGUGGAACCUCCUAGGCCUAUUUGUAGGUUUCCUUGUAUGUUCUAGGUUAUUCAUUUUAUUUUUGGUUUUUGCAGUGCUGAAAAGUUAACCAGGGCCUUGCACAUGCUAGGCAAAUCCUUUACUACUGAGCUACAUGCAACUUUAACAUAGAACUUUGCUAAGUCAGUUUGGCAAAAACCUCUCCAUCUUUGCUAUCUGAUCAGGUUCCUCAUUUUCCUACCACCUCCCAGGUGAUGUCUGACUCCCUCCAUACUUUGCCUUUGGCAGUAAUCUUGUUUAGUCAGUUUAGCCUGAAUCAUUCUUACCCAUUUUCUCUUCAUAUUAGGCAAGUGCUCUACCACUGAGUUACAUCCGCAACCAACAACAGACACUUGUCCCACAACUCUGCAGGCUGAACACAGAUCCAGACAGCAGCAGAGUCACAGCUGUGCACCCUCUGACAGCUCUGGGGAGGUUCCAAUCCAGGCCUAUCUCCCAGCACUCGGUUCAUCCCUGGCUGGUACAGAACUUCAUAUAUUGUUGUCUCUGUGCCUGUGCCCAAGUUCCCUUUCACAGAAGGGCACCAGUCACAUUGCAUUCAGGCCCAGCCUAAAGGCCCCAUUUUGAUUAUCUCUGGAAUGACCCUGUCUCCAAACACAGUCACAUUUUGAGGUACUGAAGGUUAAAACUAAAAUUUCUCUUUUUUUGAGUGAGGGAGGGCACAACUCAAGCCCUAACAACACUAUAUAUAUCUUGGAUGCCCAUUCCUCAGAAGGCUCAUUGGGAUACUCCAGACAGGCUGGGGAGCUGACAGACUAAUGACAAGACUUAACUUUCCCUAGGCAUGUCCAAUCCUAUAAUAGAGGGAAACAACUUGGGAGGUUUGGCACAAUGGCAGGGUGCCUGGUCAAAGUGGGUGCUGGCAUAGAACAAGGCUACAGGACACAGGGCCAAUCAGUGAGGCGGAUAGAAGAUGCUGGCAGUAGGGUGGUAGCCCCAGCUAAGAGCCUGUAAUUCUGAUUGCCAGACACAUGUGGACUUGAGACUAGUUUCCUCACAGGCCUGGGGCAGGGAAAAGUAGGCUUCUGUUCAUCCCCAAACAAGCCAAUAAUUCAUUACAUCCAGGCUGGGACACCUCAUAGCAGGUCCACAUCCAUCCUGUGCUCACUGCUCUGGGUGCCAUCUUCUGAAAAGCCAAGUCAGGCAAAAAGAAGCCUUGAGCUGUGCAUUAAAUAUGUGGGAUUCACAAGCCUGUGGAUGCCUUUCCAUCCCAGAGUUCCUCUUAAUAAUCCCUAGUAUUAGGUGAUUUGCCCUGUAAACAGCACCUAAUUUCCAUACACAUAGGUCCCCGUGUGCUUCAGUCUCUGCCCAAGGAUAGAUGAACCACCUUCCAUAGACUUCAUCAUGUGGAAGACAAAAGGAAGAAGGAGAAAGAGCCUUGUAUAGGCAUCUGUACUGCUGCAGGGAGUCCUGUCACCAUCGCACAAAGGAAAGACCUUGAAACAUCACAGACUCAAAGCUUUAUUAUCCAUAGCUCACAUUAAAUUCAGAUUCCUAUGAAGCUGGACUGUCCAAGAAAGAAGGAUACAGCAAGGGUUAGCUAAGUCUCCUUGCUGAGACAGGCUUGCACAAAGCCCUCAAUGCUCACCUGAGUGA
Cavia porcellus (domestic guinea pig) is the source of this 2281-nucleotide long non-coding RNA. RefSeq lists it as uncharacterized. The transcript has 2 exons. The record is from RefSeq and is a predicted model, not a curated record. Lineage: Eukaryota; Metazoa; Chordata; Mammalia; Rodentia; Caviidae.